RNAcentral lists this ribosomal RNA (497 nucleotides) under uncultured bacterium. RNAcentral describes it as "partial 16S ribosomal RNA". It matches the Rfam family "Bacterial small subunit ribosomal RNA", at positions 28 to 507 of the family's 1533-position model. The record is from RNAcentral.
GAUGAACGCUGGCGGCGUGCCUAAUACAUGCAAGUCGAGCGAACGGACGAGAAGCUUGCUUCUCUGAUGUUAGCGGCGGACGGGUGAGUAACACGUGGAUAACCUACCUAUAAGACUGGGAUAACUUCGGGAAACCGGAGCUAAUACCGGAUAAUAUUUUGAACCGCAUGGUUCAAAAGUGAAAGACGGUCUUGCUGUCACUUAUAGAUGGUUCCGCGCUGCAUUAGCUAGUUGGUAAGGUAACGGCUUACCAAGGCAACGAUGCAUAGCCGACCUGAGCGGGUGAUCGCCCACACGGGAACUGAGACACGGUCCAGACUCCUACGGGAGGCAGCAGUAGGGAAUCUUCCGCAAUGGGCGAAAGCCUGACGGAGCAACGCCGCGUGAGUGAUGAAGGUCUUCGGAUCGUAAAACUCUGUUAUUAGGGAAGAACAUAUGUGUAAGUAACUGUGCACAUCUUGACGGUACCUAAUCAGAAAGCCACGGCUAACUACGUG